This is a long non-coding RNA of Sinocyclocheilus grahami, 207 nucleotides long. RefSeq lists it as uncharacterized. NCBI's taxonomy places the organism in Eukaryota, Metazoa, Chordata, Actinopteri, Cypriniformes, Cyprinidae. The record is from RefSeq and is a predicted model, not a curated record. The transcript has 3 exons.
GUAGCAAUCCACAGUUCAUUCUUGGGGGAGCCAACAGGACAGAUAUCUGCCAAGGAGACCUGGGAGACUGUUGGCUGCUGGCUGCCAUUGCUUGCCUGACCCUUAAUGAUAUAGUUCUGAAGAGGGUGGUUCCUCAUGACCAGAGCUUCACUGAAAACUAUGCUGGCAUUUUCCAUUUCCAGUUCUGGCGCUAUGGGGAGUGGGUGG